GAGUUUGAUUCUGGCUCAGAACGAACGCUGGCGGCGCGUCUUAAGCAUGCAAGUCGAACGGCAAGAAAGGAGCUUGCUCCUUUCCUAGAGUGGCGGACUGGUGAGGAACACGUGGGUAAUCUACCCUUGAGAUGGGGAUAGCCGUUAGAAAUAGCGGGUAAUACCGAAUACACUUAUUAUUUCACAAGAGAUAGUAAGGAAAGGAAGCUACGGCUUCGCUCGAGGAUGAGCCUGCGUCCCAUUAGCUAGUUGGUGAGGUAACGGCUCACCAAGGCAACGAUGGGUAUCCGGCCUGAGAGGGUGAUCGGACACAUUGGGACUGAGAUACGGCCCAAACUCCUACGGGAGGCAGCAGCUAAGAAUAUUCCGCAAUGGACGGAAGUCUGACGGAGCGACGCCGCGUGGAUGAAGAAGGCUGAAAAGUUGUAAAAUCCUUUUGUUGAUGAAGAAUAAGGAUAAGAGGGAAUGCUUAUCUGA
Molecule: ribosomal RNA, 477 nt
Filed under: Treponema sp. canine oral taxon 233
Lineage: Bacteria; Pseudomonadati; Spirochaetota; Spirochaetia; Treponematales; Treponemataceae
Description: bacterial SSU rRNA
Rfam family: Bacterial small subunit ribosomal RNA
Source: RNAcentral